AACGAACGCUGGCGGCAUGCCUAACACAUGCAAGUCGAACGAGAUCUUCGGGUCUAGUGGCGCACGGGUGCGUAACGCGUGGGAAUCUGCCCUUUGGUUCGGAAUAACAGUUGGAAACGACUGCUAAUACCGGAUGAUGACGAAAGUCCAAAGAUUUAUCGCCAGGGGAUGAGCCCGCGUAGGAUUAGCUAGUUGGUGUGGUAAAGGCGCACCAAGGCGACGAUCCUUAGCUGGUCUGAGAGGAUGAGCAGCCACACUGGGACUGAGACACGGCCCAGACUCCGACGGGAGGAAGCAGUGGGGAAUAUUGACAAUGGGCGAAAGCCUGAUCCAGCAAUGCCGCGUGAGUGAUGAAGGCCUUAGGGUUGUAAAGCUCCUUUACCCGGGAUGAUAAUGACAGUACCGGGAGAAUAAGCUCCGGCUAACUCCGUGCCAGCCGCCGCGGUAA
This 448-nucleotide ribosomal RNA is filed under the name uncultured bacterium. RNAcentral describes it as "partial 16S ribosomal RNA". It matches the Rfam family "Bacterial small subunit ribosomal RNA", at positions 29 to 523 of the family's 1533-position model. The record is from RNAcentral.